GGGAGUGUCAGCACGCCUGGUGGCGGCCACGGAUUUCAAAUCCGCUGUUGGGCCUGGAGACAGGUUCAAGGUAGGUUCGAUUCCUAUCCACUCCCG
RNAcentral lists this transfer RNA (96 nucleotides) under Phycisphaerales bacterium. RNAcentral's name for it is "tRNA-Sec". It matches the Rfam family "Selenocysteine transfer RNA". Lineage: Bacteria; Pseudomonadati; Planctomycetota; Phycisphaerae; Phycisphaerales. The record is from RNAcentral.